UUGGUGCUGUGUGGGGGUGGUGGUACUUGUGAAGGUGGUGGUGACAUUGGUGCUGUGUGGGGGUGUUGGUGCUUGUGAAGGUGGUGGUGACAUUGGUGCUGUGUGGGGGUGUUGGUACUUGUGAAGGUGGUGGGGACAUUGGUGCUGUGUGGGGGUGUUGGUACUUGUGAAGGUGGUGGUGACAUUGGUGCUGUGUGGGGGUGUUGGUACUUGUGAAGGUGGUGGUGACAUUGGUGCUGUGUGGGGGUGUUGGUGCUUGUGAAGGUGGUGGUGACAUUGGUGCUGUGUGGGGGUGUUGGUGCUUGUGAAGGUGGUGGUGACA
Molecule: long non-coding RNA, 322 nt
Organism: Eriocheir sinensis (Chinese mitten crab)
Lineage: Eukaryota; Metazoa; Arthropoda; Malacostraca; Decapoda; Varunidae
Exons: 3
Source: RefSeq, a predicted model, not a curated record